GAUGAACGCUGGCGGCGUGCUUAAUACAUGCAAGUCGAGCGAAAAGGCGAGGAGCUUUCUCCUCUGACGUUAGCGGCGCGCGGGGGUGUCACACGUGUGUAACCUACUGAUCAGACGGGGAUAACUGCGGGAAACGGGAGCUUAUACCGGAUAAUAUUUUGAAGCACAUGGUUCAGGAGUGAAGGAUGGGUUUGGUGUCACUUAGAGAUCUAUCCGCGCGGCAUUAGCUAGUUGGUCAGGUAACGGCUUACCAAGGAGACGAUGCGUAGCCGGCCUGAGAGGGUGAGCGGCCACACUGGAACUGAGACACGGUCCAGACUCCUACGGGAGGCAGCAGUAGGGAAUCUUCCACAAUGGGGGAAAGCCUGACGGAGCAAGGCCGCGUGAUUGAUGAAGGUCUUCGGAUCGUAAAACGCUUUUGUUAGGGAAGAACAAUUGUCUAAGUAACAAGGCUCGUCUUGACGGUACCUAAACAAAAAGCCACGGCUAACUACGUG
Molecule: ribosomal RNA, 497 nt
Filed under: uncultured bacterium
Lineage: Bacteria
Description: partial 16S ribosomal RNA
Rfam family: Bacterial small subunit ribosomal RNA
Source: RNAcentral